CCUCAUACAUACAAUUCGGUCAGGUGGUUCUUAAUUCGCCUAAGAAAAGGUGGUUCUCAAUCGCUGGAAUAGAAACGUACGGCGUUCAGAUCUACGGGAGUUUCACACGCGUUUAUGGCCUGUGUGACCGCCUUGACCAGCCGAAGCCGCCGCGCCGCCGACUGCGGCUGUAGGCUGCGCAUACGUGACAUCCCCCCGGCGAUCAGCCUCGAUCCGCGCUGCACACGCCGGCCGGCCGGCUCGCCAUCCCCACUGAAGAAGCUGUACUGAUUAAUCAUUCAAUCAAGGCAAGCUAAUGUACCAAUUUUUCGCAAAAUCCAUGGCGUAAUAUGCCUGAAAUAGUUGAUCUGAACAAGCUUACUCAGGAUCCAUCGAAAAGGAAGAUACUUACAGAUUUUAGUGUCAAAUAGCAUGAGGAGAUUUGGAAAAAUCGUCGCUGGAUGAAACGGAAGGAGGUAAUGUGCUCAAGCUUAUUUUUUUAUCUAUCAAUGUUUACAUUCCUUCUAUAUUUAAACAUGUUUCCUUUCCCCGCAAAUUGAAGGCUAAAAAGGAACGUAGGAACAAAAGAAAUCGACAUAUUCAUGUUUCACAAUUUAUUCUUUCGUAAGUGGUGGUUUACUUUUACUUUUGGCAAUCAACUUGUCAUAAUUAUGUGUGUGCUGACAUUAUCUUAUAAAGAAAUAUAUGAUUUUGAUUCUUA
Long non-coding RNA from Triticum aestivum (bread wheat), 700 nucleotides. RefSeq lists it as uncharacterized. The transcript is spliced from 2 exons. The record is from RefSeq and is a predicted model, not a curated record. Lineage: Eukaryota; Viridiplantae; Streptophyta; Magnoliopsida; Poales; Poaceae.